UUUUCAGUAGGGAAGAAGCCCUUUUUGGGGGUGACGGUACUUGCAGAAGAAGCGCCGGCUAAUUACGUGCCAGCAGCCGCGGUAAUACGUAGGGCGCAAGCGUUAUCCGGAAUUAUUGGGCGUAAAGAGCUCGUAGGCGGUUUGUCGCGUCUGCCGUGAAAGUCCGAGGCUCAACCUUGGAUCUGCGGUGGGUACGGGCAGACUAGAGUGAUGUAGGGGAGACUGGAAUUCCUGGUGUAGCGGUGAAAUGCGCAGAUAUCAGGAGGAACACCGAUGGCGAAGGCAGGUCUCUGGGCAUUUACUGACGCUGAGGAGCGAAAGCAUGGGGAGCGAACAGGAUUAGAUACCCUGGUAGUCCAUGCCGUAAACGUUGGGCACUAGGUGUGGGGGACAUUCCACGUUUUCCGCGCCGUAGCUAACGCAUUAAGUGCCCCGCCUGGGGAGUACGGCCGCAAGGCUAAAACUCAAAGGAAUUGACGGGGGCCCGCACAAGCGGCGGAGCAUGCGGAUUAAUUCGAUGCAACGCGAAGAACCUUACCAAGGCUUGACAUGUUCCAGACCGGGCCAGAGAUGGUCUUUCCCCUUUUGGGGCUGGUUCACAGGUGGUGCAUGGUUGUCGUCAGCUCGUGUCGUGAGAUGUUGGGUUAAGUCCCGCAACGAGCGCAACCCUCGUUCCAUGUUGCCAGCGGGUUAUGCCGGGGACUCAUGGGAGACUGCCGGGGUCAACUCGGAGGAAGGUGGGGAUGACGUCAAAUCAUCAUGCCCCUUAUGUCUUGGGCUUCACGCAUGCUACAAUGGCCGGUACAAUGGGUUGCGAUACUGUGAGGUGGAGCUAAUCCCUAAAAGCCGGUCUCAGUUCGGAUUGGGGUCUGCAACUCGACCCCAUGAAGUCGGAGUCGCUAGUAAUCGCAGAUCAGCAACGCUGCGGUGAAUACGUUCCCGGGCCUUGUACACACCGCCCGUCAAGUCACGAAAGUUGGUAACACCCGAAGCCGAUGGCCUAACCACC
Molecule: ribosomal RNA, 1009 nt
Filed under: Glutamicibacter protophormiae
Lineage: Bacteria; Bacillati; Actinomycetota; Actinomycetes; Micrococcales; Micrococcaceae
Description: bacterial SSU rRNA
Rfam family: Bacterial small subunit ribosomal RNA
Source: RNAcentral